AAUGAGAAUGCUAAGGAUGAUGGCUUCCCCGAUGCCAAUGAAACAGUAAAAGCUAAUGAGAGUGAUACUAAGGAUGCUGUUUCAGAUGAUGAUGAUGAUGAUGAUCUUGAUGAUGGAAGGAGUGUCCUUGAAGCAAUGCUGUCAGGACGCAGAGGCAAGAAAAACCGAAGUUCUAAGGAUGUAUAUCCGGAAGAUGUUAAUGAGGGUGCCAAUGCUAUGGAUCAUGGGAGUCGGAAGAGUAAGAGGAGAGCGAAGAAAGAAAAGGGAAAG
RNAcentral lists this long non-coding RNA (270 nucleotides) under Linum usitatissimum (flax). RNAcentral describes it as "long non-coding RNA (LUSI_LNC000722)". Lineage: Eukaryota; Viridiplantae; Streptophyta; Magnoliopsida; Malpighiales; Linaceae. The record is from RNAcentral.